AGUGAACGCUGGCGGUAGGCCUAACACAUGCAAGUCGAACGGCAGCACAGGAGAGCUUGCUCUCUGGGUGGCGAGUGGCGGACGGGUGAGGAAUACAUCGGAAUCUGCCCAGUCGUGGGGGAUAACGUAGGGAAACUUACGCUAAUACCGCAUACGACCUUCGGGUGAAAGAGGGGGAUCGCAAGACCUCUCGCGAUUGGAUGAGCCGAUGUCGGAUUGGCUAGUUGGCGGGGUAAUGGCCCACCAAGGCGACGAUCCGUAGCUGGUCUGAGAGGAUGAUCAGCCACACUGGAACUGAGACACGGUCCAGACUCCUACGGGAGGCAGCAGUGGGGAAUAUUGGACAAUGGGCGCAAGCCUGAUCCAGCCAUACCGCGUGGGUGAAGAAGGCCUUCGGGUUGUAAAGCCCUUUUGUUGGGAAAGAAAUCUUUCAGGCUAAUACCCUGGGAGGAUGACGGUACCCAAAGAAUAAGCACCGGCUAACUUCGUG
RNAcentral lists this ribosomal RNA (490 nucleotides) under uncultured bacterium. RNAcentral's name for it is "partial 16S ribosomal RNA". It matches the Rfam family "Bacterial small subunit ribosomal RNA", at positions 29 to 507 of the family's 1533-position model. The record is from RNAcentral.